RNAcentral lists this ribosomal RNA (450 nucleotides) under uncultured bacterium. RNAcentral's name for it is "partial 16S ribosomal RNA". It matches the Rfam family "Bacterial small subunit ribosomal RNA", at positions 354 to 796 of the family's 1533-position model. The record is from RNAcentral.
GUGGGGAAUAUUGGACAAUGGGCGAAAGCCUGAUCCAGCCAUGCCGCGUGUGUGAAGAAGGUCUUCUGAUUGUAAAGCACUUUAAGUUGGGAGGAAGGGCAGUAAGUUAAUACCUUGCUGUUUUGACGUUACCGACAGAAUAAGCACCGGCUAACUUCGUGCCAGCAGCCGCGGUAAUACGAAGGGUGCAAGCGUUAAUCGGAAUUACUGGGCGUAAAGCGCGCGUAGGUGGUUUUGUAAGUUGGAGGUGAAAUCCCCGGGCUCAACCUGGGAACUGCCUCCAAAACUACUGAGCUAGAGUACGGUAGAGGGUAGUGGAAUUUCCUGUGUAGCGGUGAAAUGCGUAGAUAUAGGAAGGAACACCAGUGGCGAAGGCGACUACCUGGACUGAUACUGACACUGAGGUGCGAAAGCGUGGGGAGCAAACAGGAUUAGAUACCCUUGUAGUCC